UUAUAGGUGGAUGAAACUUUAUGAAUGCUUGUAUACCCUGGUCACUUCAAAACCGAACUUAUACCAUGUCAUUUCACCUUUAGAAGUUUACGCCCUUGAUAUGAGUCCUCAACGUUACUUGCUCAUAGAACAUCACUCGCGGUAUGACUCCCUUUAAUUUUUUUAAAUAUUUUCACUAACAAUGUAUUUUAGGCUUUUCGAUAACUGAGGCAAAUUUCACAAGUCGGGGGCGAAGAUCACUUGCUCUUUGUGCACUAGGCAAAAGAAUAAGUAGCCUUUUUAUCUUUUUCUUUUUAGAUACAACCUCCUAAAUGGCUAAUCAAGGAAGGCUUUUGUGGAGAAUUUUAAAUACAAAGUGUUUUUUUAGUUAAUUAACUUUAUUUUACUAUAGAUUUUUAUUAUUGUAGUCGAUUUUGGUCAAACGAGCUAAAAGUCCCCCAAACGAUUGUUCGUCUGACGGUAUGUUUGCUCUAAAAAGAUUAUGCAUAUGUUUUGCCUACCGUUUA
Helianthus annuus (common sunflower) is the source of this 506-nucleotide long non-coding RNA. RefSeq lists it as uncharacterized. Lineage: Eukaryota; Viridiplantae; Streptophyta; Magnoliopsida; Asterales; Asteraceae. The record is from RefSeq and is a predicted model, not a curated record. The transcript is spliced from 2 exons.